RNAcentral lists this ribosomal RNA (324 nucleotides) under uncultured eukaryote. RNAcentral's name for it is "partial 18S ribosomal RNA". It matches the Rfam family "Eukaryotic small subunit ribosomal RNA", at positions 1470 to 1796 of the family's 1831-position model. The record is from RNAcentral.
CCCUUAGAUGUCCUGGGCUGCACGCGCGCUACACUGAUGUGUCCAGUAAGCACCUAACCUCUUCCGAAAGGAACGGGUAACCUUUGCAAAGCACAUCGUGAUGGGGAUAGAUUAUUGCAAUUAUUAGUCUUGAACGAGGAAUUCCUAGUAAGCACAAGUCAUCAGCUUGUGUUGAUUACGUCCCUGCCCUUUGUACACACCGCCCGUCGCUCCUACCGAUUGAAUGUUCCGGUGAGCUCUUCGGACUGCGCGGUCUGCAGUUUCUGCGUUCCGUGCGGAAAGUUGCGCAAACCUUAACAUUUAGAGGAAAGAGAAGUCGUAACA